GCCUGGGUGGCUCAGUCGGUCGAGUGUGGGACUUUGGCUCAGGUUAUGAUCUCAUGGUCCGUGGGUUCAAGCCCCACAUCAGGCU
Molecule: transfer RNA, 85 nt
Filed under: Felis catus (domestic cat)
Lineage: Eukaryota; Metazoa; Chordata; Mammalia; Carnivora; Felidae
Also listed under: 1 other name
Rfam family: tRNA
About the family: Transfer RNA (tRNA) molecules are approximately 80 nucleotides in length. Their secondary structure includes four short double-helical elements and three loops (D, anti-codon, and T loops).
Source: Rfam by way of RNAcentral